Molecule: ribosomal RNA, 213 nt
Filed under: uncultured bacterium
Lineage: Bacteria
Description: partial 16S ribosomal RNA
Rfam family: Bacterial small subunit ribosomal RNA
Source: RNAcentral
UCGGAACGUGCCUGUAGUGGGGGAUAACUAGUCGAAAGACUAGCUAAUACCGCAUACGACCUGAGGGUGAAAGUGGGGGACCGGCAAGGCCUCAUGCUAUAGGAGCGGCCGAUGUCUGAUUAGCUAGUUGGUGAGGUAAAGGCUCACCAAGGCGACGAUCAGUAGCUGGUCUGAGAGGACGAUCAGCCACACUGGGACUGAGACACGGCCCAG